AAAAGAGGAGCUCAGAUCCGCCGCGCGUCGGUGAAAGAAUCGACAACCAGAAAAGCAGUCCCCGUUACCGAUAAGGCGUUGUUUGGUUACUAUGGAUUAAACUUUAGUCCAUCCAUAUUGACCCCUUUUAGUCCUUAAAGUGCUAAACAUGUGGACUAAAAUGUGGACUAAACCCUUUAGUCCUCUAGUCCAAGUGGGGUAGAUUAAAGUAGACUAAAAGUACUGGAAAAC
RNAcentral lists this long non-coding RNA (231 nucleotides) under Setaria italica (foxtail millet). RNAcentral's name for it is "long non-coding RNA (SITA_LNC007235)". The record is from RNAcentral. Lineage: Eukaryota; Viridiplantae; Streptophyta; Magnoliopsida; Poales; Poaceae.